Molecule: ribosomal RNA, 263 nt
Filed under: Streptococcus pneumoniae
Lineage: Bacteria; Bacillati; Bacillota; Bacilli; Lactobacillales; Streptococcaceae
Description: partial 16S ribosomal RNA
Rfam family: Bacterial small subunit ribosomal RNA
Source: RNAcentral
GGACUGAGACACGGCCCAGACUCCUACGGGAGGCAGCAGUAGGGAAUCUUCCGCAAUGGACGAAAGUCUGACGGAGCAACGCCGCGUGAGUGAAGAAGGUUUUCGGAUCGUAAAACUCUGUUGUGAGGGAAGAACAAGUACCAAUUAACUACUGGUACCUUGACGGUACCUCACCAGAAAGCCACGGCUAACUACGUGCCAGCAGCCGCGGUAAUACGUAGGUGGCAAGCGUUGUCCGGAAUUAUUGGGCGUAAAGCGCGCGC